UUGGCAUAAAAGAAAGCAUCCCCACCAACUUUCUUCCAGUCAAAGACACCUGAUGCAAUGUUCUCCUUGGUGCUGAGGGAGCAGGGUAACACCACAUCUCUGUCUUGUUCCACUUUAAUCAACGGUGGCCCUGAAAGAUAAAAUCAUGUAUUUUUCAGUAUGUUUACGUGCAGAGUAAUUAAGUUAGUUUUCAAUCGCUUUGGCACAAUCGUCGAAUAACUAUUAAACUUU
Long non-coding RNA from Sander lucioperca (pikeperch), 231 nucleotides. RefSeq lists it as uncharacterized. The record is from RefSeq and is a predicted model, not a curated record. The transcript is spliced from 4 exons. Lineage: Eukaryota; Metazoa; Chordata; Actinopteri; Perciformes; Percidae.